UACGUAGGGUGCGAGCGUUGUCCGGAUUUAUUGGGCGUAAAGAGCUCGUAGGCGGUGUGUCGCGUCGGCCGUGAAAACCUGCAGCUUAACUGUGGGCUUGCGGUCGAUACGGGCAUCACUGGAGUUCGGCAGGGGAGACUGGAAUUCCUGGUGUAGCGGUGAAAUGCGCAGAUAUCAGGAGGAACACCGGUGGCGAAGGCGGGUCUCUGGGCCGAUACUGACGCUGAGGAGCGAAAGCGUGGGGAGCGAACAGG
RNAcentral lists this ribosomal RNA (254 nucleotides) under uncultured bacterium. RNAcentral's name for it is "partial 16S ribosomal RNA". It matches the Rfam family "Bacterial small subunit ribosomal RNA", at positions 524 to 776 of the family's 1533-position model. The record is from RNAcentral.